Molecule: ribosomal RNA, 509 nt
Filed under: Planotetraspora sp. 310F12
Lineage: Bacteria; Bacillati; Actinomycetota; Actinomycetes; Streptosporangiales; Streptosporangiaceae
Description: bacterial SSU rRNA
Rfam family: Bacterial small subunit ribosomal RNA
Source: RNAcentral
GAGCGGCGAACGGGUGAGUAACACGUGAGUAACCUGCCCCUGACUCUGGGAUAAGCCUGGGAAACUGGGUCUAAUACCGGAUAUGACANUUACCCGCAUGGAANGGGUGUGGAAAGUUUUUUCGGUUGGGGAUGGGCUCGCGGCCUAUCAGCUUGUUGGUGGGGUAGUGGCCUACCAAGGCGACGACGGGUAGCCGGCCUGAGAGGGCGACCGGCCACACUGGGACUGAGACACGGCCCAGACUCCUACGGGAGGCAGCAGUGGGGAAUAUUGCGCAAUGGGCGGAAGCCUGACGCAGCGACGCCGCGUGGGGGAUGACGGCCUUCGGGUUGUAAACCUCUUUCAGCAGGGACGAAGUUGACGUGUACCUGUAGAAGAAGCGCCGGCUAACUACGUGCCAGCAGCCGCGGUAAUACGUAGGGCGCAAGCGUUGUCCGGAAUUAUUGGGCGUAAAGAGCUCGUAGGUGGCUUGUUGCGUCUGCCGUGAAAGCCCGUGNUUAACUGCGGGU